AGAGUGAACGCUGGCGGUAGGCCUAACACAUGCAAGUCGAACGGCAGCACAGUGGUAGCAAUACCAUGGGCGGCGAGUGGCGGACGGGUGAGGAAUACAUCGGAAUCUACCUUUUGGUGGGGGAUAACGUAGGGAAACUUACGCUAAUACCGCAUACGCCCUUCGGGGGAAAGCCGGGGACCUUCGGGCCUGGCGCUGAUAGAUGAGCCGAUGUCGGAUUAGCUAGUUGGUGAGGUAAUGGCUCACCAAGGCGACGAUCCGUAGCUGGUCUGAGAGGAUGAUCAGCCACACUGGAACUGAGACACGGUCCAGACUCCUACGGGAGGCAGCAGUGGGGAAUAUUGGACAAUGGGCGCAAGCCUGAUCCAGCCAUACCGCGUGGGUGAAGAAGGCCUUCGGUGUAAGCCCUUUUGUAGGAAGAAAGCAAUCGGUUAAUACCCGGUUGUUACUGACCGGUACCAAGAAUAAGCAACGGCUAACGUCGUAGCCAGCAGCCGCGGUAAUCGUGA
This 509-nucleotide ribosomal RNA is filed under the name uncultured soil bacterium. RNAcentral's name for it is "bacterial SSU rRNA". It matches the Rfam family "Bacterial small subunit ribosomal RNA", at positions 26 to 529 of the family's 1533-position model. The record is from RNAcentral.